CCUACGGGAGGCAGCAGUGGUGAAUAUUUCACAAUGUGGGAAACCCUGAUGCAGCGACGCCGCGUGAGUGAAGAAGUAAUUCGUUACGUAAAGCUCUAUCAGCAGGGAAGAAAUACUGACCUUACGGUCAGCAGACGGUACCUCAGUAAGAAGCCCCGGCUAACUACGUGCCAGCAGCCGCGGUACUACGUAGUGGGCAAGCGUUCUCCGUGUUUACUGGGUGUAACGGGAGCGUAGACGGUGCGCCAAGUCUGGAGUGCAAUUCCGCAGCUUAACUGCGGAACUGCCUUGGAAACUGGCGAACUAGAGUGCGGGUGGGGUAAGCGGAAUUCCGAGUGUAGCGGUGAAAUGCGUAGAUAUGAGGAGGAACACCGGUGGCGAAGGCGGCUUACUGGACCGUAACUGACGUUGAGGCUCGAAAGCGUGGGGAGCAAACAGGAUUAGAUACCCGGGUAGUC
RNAcentral lists this ribosomal RNA (458 nucleotides) under uncultured bacterium. RNAcentral's name for it is "partial 16S ribosomal RNA". It matches the Rfam family "Bacterial small subunit ribosomal RNA", at positions 338 to 795 of the family's 1533-position model. The record is from RNAcentral.